GGAACGCUAAUACCGCAUAGGUACUACGAGAGAAAGUACGAGAGCUUCAGGCCUUGCGCUAUCAGAUGAUCCUAAGUCGGAUUAUCUUGUUGGUGAGGUAAUGGCUCACCAACGACGACGAUCCGUAACUGGUCUGAGAGGAUGAUCAGCCACACUGGAACUGAGACACGGUCCACACUCCUACGGGAGGCAGCAGUGGGGAAUAUUGUACAAUGUGCGAAAGACUGAUCCACACAUGCCGCGUGUGUGAAGAAAGUCUUCUGAUUGUAAAGCACUGUAAGUUGCGAGGAAGGGCACUAAGCUGAUACCUUGCUGGUUUGACGUUACCGACUGAAUAAGCACCGGCUAACUCUGUGCCAGCAGCCGCGGACAUACGGAGGGUGCAAGCGUUAAUCUGAAUUACUGGGCGUGAAGCGCGCGUAGGUGGUUUGUUAAGUUGGAUGUGAAAGCCCCUGGCUCAUCCUGCUAACUGCAUCCCUGACUGGCUAGCUAUAGUACGGUACAGGGUGGUGUAAUUUCCUGUGUAGCGAAGAAAUGCAUACAUAUAGGAACGAACACCGCUAGCGAAGGUCACCACCUGGACUGAUACUGACACUGACGAGCGAAAGCGUGGGGAGCAAGCUGGAUUACAUACCCUGGUAGUCCACGCCGUAAUCAAUGUCAACUAGCCGCUGUAAUCCUUGAGAUUUUAAUGGCGCACCUAACGCGUUACGCUGACCGACUGCGGAGUACGGGCGCAAAGUUAAAACUCUUAUGAAUUGACCGCGGACCGCACGAACGAUGGAGCAUGUGGCUUAAUUCGAAGCAACACCAAAAAUCUUACCAAGUCUUGACAUGCACACAACUUUCCAGAGAUGGAUUGGUGCCUUCNGGAACUCUGAUACAUGGGCUGCAUGGCUGCCGUCAGCUCGGGUCUGGAUAUGUUGCGUUAAGUACCGUAACGACCGCAUCCUUGUCUUAGUUACCAGCACGGUAUGGUAGGNNAUCNUACGCAACUGCCAGUGACAAACCGGANGAAAGGUGGGAUGACUUUANNCUUACUGCCNUUACGGCCUGGGUUACCANGGGCUNNAAUGAGGGGUACCAAGGGUGCCAGGCCCCA
Molecule: ribosomal RNA, 1102 nt
Filed under: Pseudomonas taiwanensis
Lineage: Bacteria; Pseudomonadati; Pseudomonadota; Gammaproteobacteria; Pseudomonadales; Pseudomonadaceae
Description: bacterial SSU rRNA
Rfam family: Bacterial small subunit ribosomal RNA
Source: RNAcentral